GAGAGGAGAGUAGAAAGAGAGGAGAGAGGAGGAGAGAGGAUAGUAGAGAGAGAGGAGAGGAGUUUAGAAAGAGAGGAGAGAGAAGGCGAGAGGAGAGAAGAGAGAGAGGAGAGAGGAGAGAGGAGGAGAGAAGAGGAGUGAGAGGAGAGUAGAGUAGAGAGGAGAGUAGAAAGAGAGAAGAGAGGAGGAGAGAGGAGAGAGAGGAGAGUAGAAAGACAUGAGGAGAGGAGUGAGAGGAGAGUAGAGUAGAGAGGAGAGUAGAAAGAGAGGAGAGAGGAGGAGAGGGGAGAGUAGAAAGAGAGUAGAGUAGAAAGAGAGUAGAAAGAGAGGAGAGUAGAAAGAGGAGAGUAGAAAGAGGAGAGAGGAGAGAAGAGAGUAGAAAGAGAGGAGAGAGGAGAGAAGCGAGAGGAGAGAGGAGAGUAGAAAGAGAGGAGGGUAGAAAGAGAGUAGAAAGAGAGGAGAGGAGAUUUUGGAGAGUAGAGAGAGCGUGGAGAGUUCGAGGAGAGAGAAAAAGAGAAAGAGGGAUAGAAAGACAGACCCAGUCAAACUCAAUAGCGUGACAGAGAUAAAUGGAGAUAGUAACCUUAGUGCAAAGCAGGAGGAGAACGACACAACAAAAGACUUGAGAAUUGUCUCUAUGAAAUGACCUCCAGCAACAUUUCCAACUCAGCCAGCUGAGGAGCAGAGUCAGCUGUUGUCCAGGAGGAUCCUACUUCUCUGCUUCAGACUACUGAAGCAAUGGAAACGUGAUCAUGAAUCUACCUGUUGAGGUAUGGGGAUUCAGCUGAGGAGCAGAGUCAGCUGUGGUCCAGGAGGAUCCUACUUCUCUGAUUCAGACUACAGAGGCAAUGGAAACAGCAGAGGGAAGAGGAUACUGCUAAUCAUGACGAGAUGGAGAGAGUAAAGAGAACAAAAUAUCCCUCUCGUGUGACCAAACUCCAGUCUUGAAGACAAUGGAAAUCAGACAGCCUGUAAUUUCUCCAGCACCCUCUACCACAGUAAUCACAACUGUAUCAGGGAGCAGGGGAGAGGAGUGAUUCAGCACAUAACUCACCCUCUCCCAACCGCCGCACUACUGACCAUAUACACACACACCUUACACACGCUAAUUAAUAAACACGUCCACCCUCCUAAAAGAGAUGGCAAAAUCGUUGCUUGCUUUAUUGAAUUUAAAAAAUCAUUCCAUUCGGCACAAAGUUCUAUUGUUCAAAAUUCUCCAAAGUGGGCUUGAUGGUAAAGGUUUAUGACUUAAUAAACUACAUGCACACAGAAAAUCAAAACCCAAAGAAUAUCAUUAUUUCCGUGAGGUGUGAGACAAGGCUGCAGUUUGAGUCCAAACCUUUUCACCAUUUUCAUCAAUGAAUUAGCAGACAUGUUGUACCGUUCUGCAGCCCCAGGACACUAUGUGGCACUGAGGUAAAACACCUGCUAUAUACUGCUGAUCUGGAUCUUCUAUCACCAACCACUCUGUCAGAGAUACGAAGCAGAGACCCAUCCUUACCAAGUACAGGCUGAGUGACCACCGAUUGGCCUUAGAAACCGGCAGACAUAAAAAGACAUGGCUACCCAAACAGGAGUGUGUGUGUGGUCACCUCACACCAAGGGAGGUAGAGACAGAGAUAUACUUUCUCCACUACAGUGAGAAAUAUUCCUCACCAAGAGAUUCAUUAUUCUCAGAAAACACUAAACAUGUUAUCUUACUACUCCCAGAGGAAAAACAAAGAUACUACAAAUAGUGGGACAAGUAGUAGGUGUGACGGCAUAGUAGUAGUAAUGAUGAUGAUGAAAAAUGGUGGUGGUAUGGCAGUAGAGGUAAUGAUGAUGAUAAUGGUGGUGAUAUGGCAGUAGAGGUAAUGAUGAGGAUAAUGGUGAUGGUAUGGUAGUAGAGGUAAUGAUGAUGAUAAUGGUGGUGGUAUGGUAGUAGAGGUAAUGAUGAUGAUAAUGGUGGUGGUAUGGUAGUAGAGGUAAUGAUGAUGAUAAUGGUGGUGGUAUGGUAGUAGAGGUAAUGAUGAUGAUAAUGGUGGUGGUAUGGUAGUAGAGGUAAUGAUGAUGAUAAUGGUGGUGGUAUGGUAGUAGAGGUAAUGAUGAUGAUAAUGGUGGUGGUAUGGUAGUAGAGGUAAUGAUGAUGAUAAUGGUGGUGGUAUGGUAGUAGAGGUAAUGAUGAUGAUAAUGGUGGUGGUAUGGUAGUAGAGGUAAUGAUGAUGAUAAUGGUGGUGGUAUGGUAGUAGAGGUAAUGAUGAUGAUAAUGGUGGUGGUAUGGUAGUAGAGGUAAUGAUGAUGAUAAUGGUGGUGGUAUGGUAGUAGAGGUAAUGAUGAUGAUAAUGGUGGUGGUAUGGUAGUAGAGGUAAUGAUGAUGAUAAUGGUGGUGGUAUGGUAGUAGUAGUAAUAGUGUUGGUAAUUGCAGUACAGAUGUAAUUGUGAUGACAGUUGGUGGUAAUAGUAGUAGUAGUAGUAGUAGUAGUAGUAGUAGUAGUAGUAAUGAAGGUGGUAGUUGCUGUACUGAUGUAAUUGUGAUGACAGUUGGUGGUAAUGGCAGUAGUAGUAGUAGUAGUAGUAGUAGUAGUAGUAGUAGUAGUGGUGGUGGUAAUGGCAGUAGUAGUAGUAGUAGAAGUAGUAGUAGUAGUAGUAGUAGUAGUAGUAGUAGUAAUGGCAGUAGUAGUAGUAGUAGUAAUGAAGGUGGUAGUUGCAGUACUGAUGUAAUUGUGAUGACAGUUGGUGGUAAUGGUAGUCGUAAGGAUAGCUAUAGUUUUAGUGUUAAUAAUAGUGGUGGUAGCAUUCGUUUUAGUGGUAAUAAUAGUGGUGGUAGCAUUAGUUUUAGUGGUAGCAUUAGUUUUAGUGGUAAUAAUAGUGGUGGUAGCAUUCGUUUUAGUGGUAAUAAUAGUGGUGGUAGCAUUCAUUUUAGUGGUAAUAAUAGUGGUGGUAGCAUUCGUUUUAGUGGUAAUAAUAGCAGCAUAUUCAUUUUCCAUGUUUGACCUUUUAUUGUCCCUGUUAUGUACUCUGUUAUUCUAGUACAAUUUACCGCUAUCAUUAUACUGCUGUUAUUUAUAUUAGUUCAUUAUUAC
Molecule: long non-coding RNA, 3062 nt
Organism: Oncorhynchus keta (chum salmon)
Lineage: Eukaryota; Metazoa; Chordata; Actinopteri; Salmoniformes; Salmonidae
Exons: 4
Source: RefSeq, a predicted model, not a curated record